RNAcentral lists this ribosomal RNA (253 nucleotides) under uncultured bacterium. Its description in RNAcentral is "partial 16S ribosomal RNA". It matches the Rfam family "Bacterial small subunit ribosomal RNA", at positions 524 to 776 of the family's 1533-position model. The record is from RNAcentral.
UACAGAGGGGGCAAGCGUUGUUCGGAAUUACUGGGCGUAAAGGGCGCGUAGGCGGCCCGCUAAGUCGAACGUGAAAUCCCCGGGCUCAACCCGGGAACUGCGUCCGAUACCGGCAGGCUUGAAUCCGGGAGAGGGAUGCGGAAUUCCAGGUGUAGCGGUGAAAUGCGUAGAUAUUAGGAGGAACACCGAUGGCGAAGGCAGGUCUCUGGGCCGAUACUGACGCUGAGGAGCGAAAGCGUGGGGAGCGAACAGG